UAACACGUGAGCAACCUGCCUUUCAGAGGGGGAGUAACAGUUGGAAACGACUGCUAAUACCGCAUAACGCUGCGAUGGGGCAUCCCGAUGCAGCCAAAGGAGCAAUCCGCUGGAAGAUGGGCUCGCGGCCGAUUAGCUAGUUGGUGGGGCAACGGCCCACCAAGGCGACGAUCGGUAGCCGGACUGAGAGGUUGAUCGGCCACAUUGGGACUGAGACACGGCCCAGACUCCUACGGAAGGCAGCAG
Molecule: ribosomal RNA, 246 nt
Filed under: uncultured bacterium
Lineage: Bacteria
Description: partial 16S ribosomal RNA
Rfam family: Bacterial small subunit ribosomal RNA
Source: RNAcentral